RNAcentral lists this ribosomal RNA (327 nucleotides) under uncultured eukaryote. Its description in RNAcentral is "partial 18S ribosomal RNA". It matches the Rfam family "Eukaryotic small subunit ribosomal RNA", at positions 1470 to 1796 of the family's 1831-position model. The record is from RNAcentral.
GCCUUAGAUGUUCUGGGCCGCACGCGCGCUACACUGACGAAUGCAACGAGCUUAUAACCUUGGCCGAAAGGUCUGGGUAAUCUCCAAAUUUCGUCGUGAUGGGGAUAGAUUAUUGCAAUUAUUAAUCUUUAACGAGGAAUGCCUAGUAAGCGCAAGUCAUCAGCUUGCGUUGAUUACGUCCCUGCCCUUUGUACACACCGCCCGUCGCUCCUACCGAUUGAAUGGUCCGGUGAAGCGCUCGGACCGCGGCCUCUUGACGGUUUUCCGUCGAUUGGCUGUGGGAAGUUCGUUAAACCUUNUNAUUUAUNGGAAGGAGAANUCGUANCA